This 403-nucleotide ribosomal RNA is filed under the name bacterium. RNAcentral describes it as "partial 16S ribosomal RNA". It matches the Rfam family "Bacterial small subunit ribosomal RNA", at positions 355 to 776 of the family's 1533-position model. The record is from RNAcentral.
UGGGGAAUAUUGCACAAUGGAGGGAACUCUGAUGCAGCGACGCCGCGUGAACGAAGAAUGCUUUCGAGUCGUAAAGUUCUUUUAUAUGGGAAGAUAAUGACGGUACCAUAAGAAAAAGCCCCGGCUAACUACGUGCCAGCAGCCGCGGUAAUACGUAGGGGGCUAGCGUUGUCCGGAAUCACUGGGCGUAAAGGGUUCGCAGGCGGAAAUGCAAGUCAGGUGUAAAAGGCAGUAGCUUAACUACUGUAAGCAUUUGAAACUGCAUAUCUUGAGAAGAGUAGAGGUAAGUGGAAUUUUUAGUGUAGCGGUGAAAUGCGUAGAUAUUAAAAAGAAUACCGGUGGCGAAGGCGACUUACUGGGCUCAUUCUGACGCUGAGGAACGAAAGCGUGGGUAGCAAACAGG